RNAcentral lists this ribosomal RNA (99 nucleotides) under Otolemur garnettii (small-eared galago). The record is from RNAcentral. Lineage: Eukaryota; Metazoa; Chordata; Mammalia; Primates; Galagidae.
UGUGGCCAUAAUACCAUGAACACAACCGAUCUUGUCUGAUCUUGGAAGUUGGGGCUGGUUAGUACUUGGAUGGAAGACUUGAGAAAUAAAUAAUAAUUU